Molecule: long non-coding RNA, 215 nt
Filed under: Elaeis guineensis (African oil palm)
Lineage: Eukaryota; Viridiplantae; Streptophyta; Magnoliopsida; Arecales; Arecaceae
Description: long non-coding RNA (EGUI_LNC045266)
Source: RNAcentral
GUCGGGGGCAUGACACUAGGGCUCGAUGAUUCCAUGUAGCACUACUUCUUUCUUUGGGUGAUGCUCUUACAGGAUGCCAUUGGAGAUCAUAUUCGAUGGAAAUGGGAUGGAAAUUGGAGGUAUUGGCUUUAGUUUGGAGGAGAAAGGCUUUGAAUGAGGUUUCGACUGAUAGGGUGUAAUACCUAAGCCCAUAUGGGCCUAGCCACCAAAGGAAA